Molecule: long non-coding RNA, 1041 nt
Organism: Oncorhynchus tshawytscha (Chinook salmon)
Lineage: Eukaryota; Metazoa; Chordata; Actinopteri; Salmoniformes; Salmonidae
Source: Ensembl
CUACCUGCACUGUGGGAAUGCCCGGUUGUGCACCCCCCUAUGGGACAAAGCCUUACAGUGCAUGGGAGAUGGCCUUGGAUCCCAGGUACCUACAGUAGGUCACCAAAACUGUGUCUGCUGAGUGACAAGGCUGAAAUAAGAGGGAUUAAACGAACAAAAGGUCAAAUACAAUGUUUAGGUAUUGUGUCUGUGUUAAGGCUUGUCCUGAAACAUUGGAAGAGCUCCAGUGUUCACACAGUGGAUGAAUCUGUUGAUACAAAACAACAGCGUAUGAAAUCGUGUUUGCGAAGAGGCUGGAGGAAAAUAAUACAGACUGUGUUUCCUUAAGGGUACAUAGAGGCGUGUAGAGGCGACAGGUAGCCUAGUGGUUAGAGUGUAGAGGCGGCAGGGUAGCCUAGUGGUUAGAGUGUAGAGGCGGCAGGUAGCCUAGUGGUUAGAGUGUAGAGGUGGCAGGGUAGCCUAGUGGUUAGAGUGUAGAGGCGGCAGGUAGCCUAGUGGUUAGAGUGUAGAGGUGGCAGGGUAGCCUAGUGGUUAGAGUGUAGAGGUGGCAGGGUAGCCUAGUGGUUAGAGUGUAGAGGCGGCAGGUAGCCUAGUGGUUAGAGUGUAGAGGCGACAGGUAGCCUAGUGGUUACAGUGUAGAGGCGGCAGGUAGCCUAGUGGUUAGAGCGUUGGGCUAGUAACCAAAAGGUUGCAAGUUCAAAUCCCGAGCUGACAAGGUACAAAUCUGUCGUUCUGCCCCUGAACAGGCAGUUAACCCACUGUUCCUAGCGUGUCAUUGAAAAUAAGAAUUUGUUCUUAACUGACUUGCCUUGUAAAAUAAAUGUUUUUUUUGUUUUGUUUAAUGAGUUUAUUAUUUUUGAAAGCUGUAAUUUGUAUUUAUAAAAUACUUUUCUGUACAAUAUUAUUUAUAGCUGCUCACCAUAUUGUGGCCCCCUUUCACCAUACAUUGGUAUCAGUCUGAUGGCACUAUGGUGUGAAAAGAGCGGCCGCUAAAUUAACAACACUGAGUAUACAAAACAUUAGGAACACCUAAUAUUGAGU